AACUUUUAGCAAGGGACACUUGGCUCUCGCAUCGAUGAAGAACGCAGCGAAAUGCGAUAAGUAAUGUGAAUUGCAGAAUUCAGUGAAUCAUCGAAACUUUGAACGCACCUUGCGCUCCUUGGUAUUCCGAGGAGCAUGCCUGUUUGAGAGUCAUUAAAUUCUCACCCCCUCCAGUUGUGAUGGGGCUUGGAUAUGGGGGCUUGCGGGUCUUUACUGAUGUAAAGGUCAGCUCUCCUGAAAUACAUUAGCGGAACCGUUUGCAGUCCCGUCACUGGUGUGAUAAUUAUCUACGCUGUGAUGGAUUGCUCUCUGACUAGUUCAGCUGCUAAUCGUCCGUUAUGGAAAAUGUUUAAUGAACUUCUUGACCUCAAAUCAGGUAGGACUACCCGCUGAACUUAAGCAUAUCAAUAAGCGGAGGCU
RNAcentral lists this unclassified non-coding RNA (420 nucleotides) under uncultured Vascellum. RNAcentral's name for it is "sequence contains ITS2". The stretch from base 1 to 153 matches the Rfam family "5.8S ribosomal RNA". Lineage: Eukaryota; Fungi; Basidiomycota; Agaricomycetes; Agaricales; Lycoperdaceae. The record is from RNAcentral.